Molecule: non-coding RNA, 1220 nt
Organism: Lolium perenne
Lineage: Eukaryota; Viridiplantae; Streptophyta; Magnoliopsida; Poales; Poaceae
Source: RefSeq, a predicted model, not a curated record
CCCCCUUGGCCGGCCACCACCUCCCCCUUUGCUCAUUUUCUUCACUCUCCACUCCCUCACACUCUCCUCCUCUCCUCCACCACGAAAUGCUGCUCCUCCUAGCAACCAUGGCCGGCCAUGGCCAUGGAAACCUCUCCAAGAUGCAACUCCCUCCUUCCUCAAGCUUCCCCUCACCAUGAGAGCUUCCCUCUCCCUCUCUUCUCCCCUAACCCUAGAUGAAUCUAGCUCUAUUUCUCCUUUCUCCUCUCACUAGAUUGGAUCUUGAUGCAGGUGCAUGUUGGUCCAAGCAUGGAGAAGGUUGAGCUAUCCUCAGAUCUGAAGUUCUUGAGCAAAAUCCAAAUCGAGUGAUUCAAAGUUCCGCAGAUAGGUAUUGAAAAGAUCUACAACUUGGCGUUGGUCUCAUCCUCAAAUUCGUUACGGAUUUUGCAUGAUCAAGAUCUGGUCAGAUCUGACUUUGUCGAAUUAAACCUGGAGUUUGGAAACGAAUUUUUGAAUGAAACCAACUGGGGGAUAUUUGGUUGAUACCCUGGUGAUAAACGAGAGAGGCAAUUGCUAAGUUGUGAUACUCUCAUACCUUUACUAGAUGCGAACGAUUCCGGAGAAGAAGAAGUGGUUCGGACAAGGAUUUUAUUUAUAUUGACGGGAUUCUUAUAUUGAUGAAGUUGAAGAAGUCCAGGGACAAAUAAGCCAAGGCAAGCCAUCUUUUGAUCUCUGAUAUGAUGUCUCUUUGGAUGUCAUCUUGUGCUAUCAAUAGCAUCUUGGUUCUAUGUGUGAUGAUCUCCAUAUUGUUGUCAUCUAUGCUUGGAUGCAAGCAUGGUACCUCUAGUAGUUUUAUCUUGUCAAGGUCUUGGUAAUUGGUUGGGUGUAUGGUAUCAUGGCCAUUGCUAUCCAACUUGCUUUCUAUAUUUAGCUUGAAUAUGUUCCACCUCGGGACAAGAUUCAUACUACACCCCCUUCUAGUGUAGAUGUAUCAAUACCAUGUUUUUGGUGUAUUCUCAAAUUGUGAUGAGUAUGCCUGAUUCCCUUAAUGGUGUUGGUGUUGGUCAAUUCUCAUCCCUAUCUAUUGAUUGGGUUAGAUAGCACCACAAAUCUGAAAGUAUAUUUCCUCUUGUGUUGUCAUAAUACAUGCUUAGCUCAAGCAAGUAUGAUCCACUCCAAUACCUCUUUUUCAUACCCUCAAUGGCGUGAUGACCCUCAUCUCGGCCAUAGUGUUGUAUUAG